ACCUCAGCGAGCUCCUCCAUGGACUCACAGAAUCCCGGGAUAUCUGGAGCUGGAAGUGACCCCCAAGGAUCACGGAGUCCAACUCCUGGCCCUGCACAGGCCCAGCCCCAAGAGUCACCCCCUGUGUCCCAGAGGAUCAUCCAAACCCUCCUGGAGCUCUGGCAGCCUUGGGGCCGUGCCCACUGCCCUGGGGAGCCUGGGCAGUGCCCACCACCCUCUGGGGGAAGAACCUUGUCCUGAGAUCCCCCCUGAGCCUGCCCUGUCCCAGCUCCAGCCCUUCCCUGGCUCCUGUCCCUGUCCCAGAGAGCAAAGAUCAGCUCAGUGGAGCCUGUUUGGCCCUUGGGGACUCAGUUCCUGGAGUGAUGUCCAUCCUGUCCUUGCCUGGCCAUGGACACCUUUCCUGCAGUGUCCUGGGCUCCCCCUGUGUGCUCCCACCUCCUAAACUCCGGGAAUGUUUCUACAACCAACAGCAGUUUCAGUGCAUGUUCAAAUUCUCUUUUUAUCCGUAUUUGCUGACACCCAGAAGACUCCUUUCUUUGAGCAGGGAGCAUCUCAUGAACAAUUCUGAAGAACCUUUUUCUCAGAAACCCUGACAUCCUUCUCCAGCCCUGAAGCCAGGGAGUUUCUCCAGGAGUUUCUCCAGGAGUUUCUCCAGAAGUUUCUGCAGGGGAUCAGCCAACACAUCCAUAUCUUCGUGGUCUGCUGUUAUAUUUUGGAGCUGUGGAUCCCUGAGAUCUCAUCUGGAGAUCCCAUCACAGCAGCCUCCCCGGGUUGCUGCUUUGAAGCUGCACCUGGUGGUUCUGAGUCACCCAGGUGGGCAGGGAAAGAGCUGGGAAAGAGCUGGAAUGUGCAUCUCCUUGGCAUAACACAGGUGGUGGCAAUGAGGCAGCAGGAAAGGCCUUUAAGUGAAUGAGGGGCCCAAGGGUGGGCUCUGACUCCUGCCUGGGGUUUGGGCUUUGCUUUUCCAUCUCAGUGGGGCAUGGAAGUGUCCUUUCCCACUUUGCCUGGUAAAACCUGCAAGGACUUGAAGCCUUUUCCAGCUUGAUCCAGCCCAGAAACCAAGUGUAUCCUGGGCUGUGCCCAAAGCAGGGUGGGCAGCAGCUGAGGGAGGGGAUUCUGCCCCCCUGCUCUGCUCUGAGACCCCACCUGGAGUUCUGUGUCCAGCUCUGGGGCCCCCCAAGAUAAGAAGGACAUGGAAUGUUGGAGCAAGUCCAGAGAAGGCCAUGAAGUUGAUAAGAGGAUGGAGCACCUUCCCAGGUGGGACAGGCUGGGAAAACUGGGGCUGUUCAGCCUGGAGAAGAGAAGGUUGGGUGGAGACCUCACAGCACCUUCUGGGGUCUGAAGGGACCUGCAAGGAAACCAGAGAGGGAUUUAAUCAGGAACUGCAGGGACAGGACGAGGAGGAAUGGGUUCAAACUGAAAGAGGAGAGGUUCAGGUGAGAUAUUGGGAAGGAAUUCCUGGCUGGGAGGGUGGGGAGGGGCUGGGAUAGAAUUCCCAGAGAAGCUGUGGCUGCCCCUGGAUCCCUGGAAGUGUCCAAGGCCAGGUUGGAUGGGGCUUGGAGCAACCUGGGCUGGUGGAAGGUGUCCCUGCCCAUGGCAAGGGGUGGCACUGGGUGGGCUUUAAGGUCCUUUCCAACCCAAAGCAGUCUGGGAUUCCCUGAUUCCAUGAUUCCAUGACCCUUUGGGUGCAGCCCAACCCAGCAGCAGAUGGGACACUCGGGGACAGCCUGAGGGGCUGUUCCCAUAGGUGAGGCCAUGACAGUGAGUGCCACCACGGCCAUGCUGAAGGUUUUCCAAGCUCAUUCCAUGCCUGUCUCCUCCAUCACAACAGGAAUAUCAUCUCCCACUCCCUCCAGUGACCUGCUCAUCCAGCAGUGUGGAACACCAGGGCUGGGAGUUGCUUCUGCAUCACAAGAUCCUUCUGCCCCAGGAGAGUGAAGAUUCUGCUCAAAACACCUCUUUUUCCCAACAAUACCCAUGGGAAUUUCUGCAGGCUGGCUGAAAAUUGCAGGAUUGCAGAGAUACUGCCCUGCCCUGUUGCUUCUUCUCUCCCUGAAAUCCUCAGUGACUUCAGCAGUUCAGGGCUGGCCCAGAAACUCCAGCAUCUCUGGGAUCCUUCAGGAUGGAAGGCUCUCCACGUGGGUGUCAUUCCCAUGGGAUUCACGAGCAGAAAAACAGCAUCUGGAAGAUUCCCCCUCAUCCCAUGGGCAAGGCCUGGAAUGGAGGGGUCACUUCUUCCUGUGGAGCAGAGGUGAAUAUUCCUUGCAAAACAAAUGUAGCUCUUCAAACAAAACCCCCCAAAUACUGUCUUUUGUUAACUAAAAAGUGCUGAAAAACACUUCUGUGCUCAGCAACAAUGAGCUAAAAAGAUUUGAAGAGGUUGGGAAACGAACAAUUUCAACGCUUUCUCAUCCUUUUAGAUGAAGCCAAUCGUAACAAAAAAAAAAAGAAAUGGUAAUGAAUGCAUCCCGAGGGGGCCUCGGGCCUGACUGGCUGCAAAGCAUUGAGAUCCUGAUUCCCUCCUCUCCAGCUGAUUCCCUCCUCUCCAGCUGAUUCCCUCCUCUCCAGCUGAUUCCCUCAGCUCCACCUCGCCUUCCUUUGUGCCACUGGGGAGCCCUGGAGACCAAAUCCACCCUUGGGAGCCCUGGAGACCAAAUCCACCCUUCUGGAGCCAGAGGAGAAGCCCCUGUGCUGGUGAAGGCUUCCCCUGAAGGCUCUCCAGAGGCAGGAUUCCAGGACUGCUGUGAGGAGAAUCCACAGGACAGCUGGAGCAGAGGGACAGAGCAGGCUGUGCUGGGGUUUGGCUGAUGCUCAGAGAUUCCCAAUUCCAACUGGCUGUUAAACCCUCCAGCACAGACACUCCUGCUGCUGCAAGCCCGGGGGCUGGGCACAAAUUCCAGGGGGAGGUGGAGAGGGAAAGCAGAAGGAGUUGUCACCCUCCUGUGCUGUGUGUGAGGGUGGCACUCAGUGACCUCAGAGGUCUCUCCCAACCCAAAUGGCUCCAUGACCAGAUGUCUAAGUGGGGUGGGAUUAGUUAAUCCUGGUUUGCUAAGCCUAUAGUCAGGAUUUAGCACGAGGUGAUAUAGGGAAUAAUGUGUAAUUACUGUUCCAGAUGGACUGUGAUAAGAGCAGUAAUUAAGGAGGGAUGAGUAGCUUUGUGUAUCAGCAGAGAAUUAAGGGUGUUAAACAGAGGUUUGAAGAUCAGGAGAUGCAGAGAGGAGAUAGGUCCAACUGUCAGAAGAAAUUCCCUGCUAGUAAGGUGCCAAUAAACAUAUUUUUAACCUUAUUUAGUAGGAAAAGAUCAUAUGACCAGAUAGAAUUACAGAUGUAGGCUAAGAUAUUUUAUAGCAGUGAUUAAAAUUAAUUAAAAUAAUUCCCAUCUGUUCCUGCAAAGACUGAUCUUGACAAAUGUGGGAAGGCCAGGGCUGACCCCCAGUGCUGGGGACAUUCCAGCUGUGCUGAUCCCUGGCUAUCCUGGCUCCCUCAACAGAAUCCCAGGAUCCCAAGGGUUGGAAAAGCCCUCCAGGAUCCUCCAGUCCCACCAUUCCCCAGCACCACCAGGAUCACCCCUAAUCCAUCCAAUCCAUCCCCAAGGGCCACAUCCAGACACCUGGGGGACAUUUCCAGGGAAGUUGCUGAAGAAACAGGAUCUCUCCCACAGGAUUUAGGGACUGAAGGCAGGAGCAGCCAAGGAAAACUCCCAUCCCUGCCCCUGCUCGGGCCCAUCCCAGGGAAGAGCAGCCUUUGGAAGGAGCCCAAGCUCCAGGAGCAGAGGGCAUGGCUGGAAUUUGGGCCCAGGCUGAUCUCCCCGGGAGCCUCUGCUGGUUCCAGGCAGCAGGAAUUCCAAGCUGUGCCUUUCCUGGCUCAGGAAAGGGCUCCCUGUGCAAGGAAGGGCUUACCCAGCACGGGACUUUAAGCUUGGGCCUAAAGCCAAACCCACGGUGAGGGGCUUUACUGGGGCACUGAGGGAGGGGAAAGAACAGCAGGAAAAGCUCCAGGAACCUUGGAGGACGUUGCCUUCAUUUCAAAAGGGUGUUUUUGGCCUAAAACAAACCUUCAAACCUCAGGGAUCUGCCCUGAGAAUGAACAGAUGCCCCAGGCCUGGACAACCCGGGGUGCUCGGGGAGUUUUGGGACUUCCAAAAUAUGGACAAAAAGAUGAUUCCAUGAAGUGUCUGCCCAGAGAGGUUGAGGACUCACCAUCCCUGGAAGUGUCCAAGGCCAGGUUGGAGCAACCUGGGAUAGUGGGAGGUGUCCCUGCCCAUGGCAGGGGGUGGCACAGGAUGAGCUUUAAGGUCCCUCCCAACCCAAACCAGUCUGACCAGGUCAUAUAAAAUAAAUUAGAUGCAACCUCAUAAUUCUGAUCACUUCUUUCUCUCUGUUGGUUUGUGUCUGUC
Pseudopipra pipra is the source of this 4396-nucleotide long non-coding RNA. RefSeq lists it as uncharacterized. The record is from RefSeq and is a predicted model, not a curated record. Lineage: Eukaryota; Metazoa; Chordata; Aves; Passeriformes; Pipridae. The transcript has 5 exons.